UGGGGAAUAUUGGACAAUGGGCGCAAGCCUGAUCCAGCAAUGCCGCGUGGAUGAAGAAGGUCUUCGGAUUGUAAAGUCCUUUCGGCGGGGACGAUGAUGACGGUACCCGCAGAAGAAGCCCCGGCUAACUUCGUGCCAGCAGCCGCGGUAAUACGAAGGGGGCUAGCGUUACUCGGAAUGACUGGGCGUAAAGGGAGCGUAGGCGGUUUGGACAGUUAGGCGUGAAAUUCCUGGGCUCAACCUGGGGGCUGCGCUUAAUACAUCCAGACUUGAGUGUGGAAGAGNGUCGGGGAAUUCCCAGUGUAGAGGUGAAAUUCGUAGAUAUUGGGAAGAACACCGGUGGCGAAGGCGGCGACCUGGUCCAUUACUGACGCUGAGGCGCGAAAGCGUGGGGAGCAAACA
RNAcentral lists this ribosomal RNA (402 nucleotides) under uncultured bacterium. Its description in RNAcentral is "bacterial SSU rRNA". It matches the Rfam family "Bacterial small subunit ribosomal RNA", at positions 355 to 774 of the family's 1533-position model. The record is from RNAcentral.